This 84-nucleotide transfer RNA is filed under the name Echinostoma caproni. It matches the Rfam family "tRNA". From Rfam's summary of the family: Transfer RNA (tRNA) molecules are approximately 80 nucleotides in length. Their secondary structure includes four short double-helical elements and three loops (D, anti-codon, and T loops). Further hydrogen bonds mediate the characteristic L-shaped molecular structure. tRNAs have two regions of fundamental functional importance: the anti-codon, which is responsible for specific mRNA codon recognition, and the 3' end, to which the tRNAs corresponding amino acid is attached (by aminoacyl-tRNA synthetases). tRNAs cope with the degeneracy of the genetic code in two manners: having more than one tRNA (with a specific anti-codon) for a particular amino acid; and 'wobble' base-pairing, i.e. permitting non-standard base-pairing at the 3rd anti-codon position. Lineage: Eukaryota; Metazoa; Platyhelminthes; Trematoda; Plagiorchiida; Echinostomatidae. The record is from Rfam by way of RNAcentral.
GGCCGCGUAGCUCAGUUGAUAGAGCGUGCACUGUGCAAAACCGUCGGUGGCGUCCAUCCGCGGGUUUGAAUCCCACCGAGGCCG